UGCCUAUGAUGUAAUCUAUAUUUGCUACUCUUGAUGUCACAAGAUGAUGAGUAACCACCAAGAUCUCUGAGGCA
This 74-nucleotide small nucleolar RNA is filed under the name Paramuricea clavata. RNAcentral describes it as "Small nucleolar RNA SNORD24". It matches the Rfam family "Small nucleolar RNA SNORD24". From Rfam's summary of the family: U24 is a member of the C/D class of snoRNA which contain the C (UGAUGA) and D (CUGA) box motifs. C/D box snoRNAs have been shown to act as methylation guides for a number of RNA targets. Lineage: Eukaryota; Metazoa; Cnidaria; Anthozoa; Malacalcyonacea; Plexauridae. The record is from Rfam by way of RNAcentral.